AUGGCGGACGAGGCAAAGGCGCCCAGUGCCGACGCGAUGUCAUCCGUGGCGAAGGCGGCGCCGGUGACGGCCGACCGGCCGGUCCGGGCAGACCUGGAGACGCUCGUUCCGAAGCCCUACCUGGCCCGAGCUCUGGUUGCGCCCGACGUGUACCAUCCCGAAGGAAGCAAGGAGGGGCACGAGCACCGGCAGAAGAGCGUGCUGCAGCAGCAUGUGGCCUUCUUCGACCUCGACGGCGACGGCAUCGUCUAUCCCUGGGAGACUUACGGAGGACUAAGGGCGCUGGGCUUCAACGUGGUCGCGUCCUUCAUCAUGGCAGUCGUCAUAAACGUUGGCCUAAGCUAUCCGACUCUGCCUAGCUGGAUGCCAUCUCCCCUGUUCCCAGUCUACAUCAGCAACAUGCACAGGGCUAAGCAUGGGAGCGACACCUCAACGUACGACACUGAAGGAAGGUUCAUGCCGGUGAAUUUCGACAACAUAUUCAGCAAGAACGCUCGCACGGUGCCGGACAAACUCACCUUGGGUGAGAUCUGGAGGAUGACCGAAGGCCAGCGGCUGGCCUUCGACUUACCUGGACGUUUGACUUUGAUCAAAUUUUAUAUGCAGAGUAAAAAGAAAUGGAGGAAGUACGUGCUUGCCAGAGACAAGGACGGGCUCCUUUCAAGGGAGGCAGUUCGUGGCUGCUUCAAUGGAAGCCUGUUCGAGUCCAUUGCCCGGCAAAGGAAAGAAGCACACCAGAAGAAGUAA
This 747-nucleotide ribosomal RNA is filed under the name Triticum aestivum (bread wheat). RNAcentral describes it as "partial small subunit ribosomal RNA". The record is from RNAcentral. Lineage: Eukaryota; Viridiplantae; Streptophyta; Magnoliopsida; Poales; Poaceae.